RNAcentral lists this transfer RNA (74 nucleotides) under Spirochaetia bacterium. RNAcentral describes it as "tRNA-Arg". It matches the Rfam family "tRNA". From Rfam's summary of the family: Transfer RNA (tRNA) molecules are approximately 80 nucleotides in length. Their secondary structure includes four short double-helical elements and three loops (D, anti-codon, and T loops). The record is from RNAcentral. RNAcentral also lists the same sequence under 1 other name. Lineage: Bacteria; Pseudomonadati; Spirochaetota; Spirochaetia.
GGUCCACUAGCUCAGCUGGAUAGAGCGCAUCCCUCCUAAGGAUGAGGUCACCCGUUCGAAUCGGGUGUGGAUCA